CGAGCGGAAAGGCCCUUUCGGGGGUACUCGAGCGGCGAACGGGUGAGUAACACGUGAGCAACCUGCCCUGGACUUUGGGAUAACCCUCGGAAACGGGGGCUAAUACCGGAUAUGAUCGCCUCUCGCAUGGGGGGUGGUGGAAAGUUUUUCGGUCUGGGAUGGGCUCGCGGCCUAUCAGCUUGUUGGUGGGGUGAUGGCCUACCAAGGCGACGACGGGUAGCCGGCCUGAGAGGGCGACCGGCCACACUGGGACUGAGACACGGCCCAGACUCCUACGGGAGGCAGCAGUGGGGAAUAUUGCACAAUGGGCGGAAGCCUGAUGCAGCGACGCCGCGUGAGGGAUGACGGCCUUCGGGUUGUAAACCUCUUUCAGCAGGGACGAAGCGUGAGUGACGGUACCUGCAGAAGAAGCGCCGGCCAACUACGUGCCAGCAGCCGCGGUAAGACGUAGGGCGCGAGCGUUGUCCGGAUUUAUUGGGCGUAAAGAGCUCGUAGGCGGCUUGUCGCGUCGACUGUGAAAACCCGCGGCUCAACCGCGGGCCUGCAGCCGAUACGGGCAGGCUAGAGUUCGGUAGGGGAGACUGGAAUUCCUGGUGUAGCGGUGAAAUGCGCAGAUAUCAGGAGGAACACCGGUGGCGAAGGCGGGUCUCUGGGCCGAUACUGACGCUGAGGAGCGAAAGCGUGGGGAGCGAACAGGAUUAGAUACCCUGGUAGUCCACGCUGUAAACGUUGGGCGCUAGGUGUGGGGA
RNAcentral lists this ribosomal RNA (749 nucleotides) under Couchioplanes sp. Its description in RNAcentral is "bacterial SSU rRNA". It matches the Rfam family "Bacterial small subunit ribosomal RNA", at positions 63 to 828 of the family's 1533-position model. Lineage: Bacteria; Bacillati; Actinomycetota; Actinomycetes; Micromonosporales; Micromonosporaceae. The record is from RNAcentral.